GGUUCCUUAGCUCAGUUGGUAGAGCAACGCUUUUACAAGGCGAAGGUCGUGGGUUCAAGUCCCUCAGGAACUA
RNAcentral lists this transfer RNA (73 nucleotides) under Xanthomonas phage X1. RNAcentral describes it as "tRNA-Val". It matches the Rfam family "tRNA". Rfam says of the family: Transfer RNA (tRNA) molecules are approximately 80 nucleotides in length. Their secondary structure includes four short double-helical elements and three loops (D, anti-codon, and T loops). The record is from RNAcentral. Lineage: Duplodnaviria; Heunggongvirae; Uroviricota; Caudoviricetes.